GAUACGACUCAUGACUUUUGUCCUGUUUUAAAGUCACCUUAUGGCACAAUACAUCAUGAAAUCAAUAGUUGUCCGUCUAGGAAAUUUACCACUGGAGCUGUCUUCCACUGGUGUGGAUAUUCCAAUUGGCCUCAGGUGGCUGUCUCUGCCAUUUUGGUGACUGGCUAGAGUCCAGAGGUAUUUUUGAAGAUGGCACCUAGAAUUCAUAAAGCAUGGCUAAUUCUUCUGAGAAGAGAUGGGACACAAACGUCAAAGAGGAGUCGUUAAAAACGUCAGGCAUCUCUCUGUGCUCCUUCAUCCUCUACGGAACUUCUCCCACAACAGGUCUCUGUCUCCGCAUUCUUUCCUUCCGCCUGGAGAGUAAGCUUCCGGACGCUGGACGUUCGGUUGCCCGAGGGCUCCGACCAGCAGUGCACGCUGAGGCAGGCGGGCCGGAAGUUUGUUUGCCCUAGGGUUCCGACCAGCACUGUGUGCUGAGGCAGGCGGGCCCGGUGGUGCGUUUUGAAUCCAGCAGUGACUAGCGCUGUUUAGAAAAGCCCGGGGCUCUGCUUCUCCACUGUAGGGUCUCAUUCAGCGUAGACUCCCUAGUGGCGAACAACCCCGCCCUAACUCCCAGUAGAGACGGGGGUUUCACCUUGUUGACCAGGACGGUCUCGAUCUCUUGACCUCGUGAUCCACCUGCCUCGGCCUUGCCAGACGUCUUCUUGAGACCACUUUGCUAUUAAGGAAAAAGUUCACAGAGGAGCAAAGCAGCUGCUGACCACCUGGAAGAGGUAGCCUGAUGGGAGUCUGCUCAAAGGGGUUUGCAACCCCUUCUGAAAUCUCUGUGGGUCUCACUUUGUUGCCCAGGUUGGAGUGAAGUGACACAGUCAUAACUCACUACAGUUUCAACAUCCCAGGCUUACGUGAUCUUUCCACCUCAGCCUACUGACCAGCUGGGACUACAGGUUCAGUGAAGAAUGGACAGCCACCUAGAACUGCGAUUGGGGGAAACAGGAAUAAUCAAAUGGAAAUAGACUGAGUCAGGAAACCUAUCAAGCCCUGUCAGCUCAGCUUCUUCAUGGCCUCUCAUUUGGAACAUUUCUGUCUCCCAGGAAGUAUGGAUUUCUGAAGGUCUUGGUUGAGAAAACAAAACUUGGAGGAACUUGGAUACAAUCAUAAAACUACAUGUCCACCACCUGUUGACAGUUUCUGGGCAAGAUAGAAAGAGAAGAAAAAAGGAAAAGGAGAGAAAAGAGAAAUAAAAGGUUGCAUCCGCAUAUUUCAUCAACAGACUAAAUAAAAUAAGAGACUCCAACAGACAUGAUGAAUACCUGGUCACUUUUAAACAAUUGUUAUUCUUUUUUCUGUUUGUUUUGCUUUUUUGUUUUUGAGACAGGGUUGCCUAGGCUGGAAUGCAGUGGUGAGAUCACAGCACACUGCAGCCUUGAACUUUUGGGCUAAAGCAGUCCUCCCACUUCAGCCUCCUGAAUGGCUGGGACUGCAGACACCCACUACCAUGCCUGGAUAAUUUGUAUUUUUUUGUAGAAACAGGGUCUUACUAUGUUGCCCAGGCUGGUCUCAAAUUUCUGGCCCCAAGUGAUCCUUACACCUUAGCCUCCCAAAGUGCCAGGAUUAUAGGCAUGAGCCACUGUGCCUAGUCUAAGAAGUACUAUUCUUUAUCAAAACCAUCUUGAAAAUAUUUUUUAAAAAUAAGGUACUAUUCACAAACUCCAAAGUAUGUAGAAAAUAACCUAUCAAAGAACUUAUCAAGAAAAAAUUAAAACUCAAUUGUUCAUUUGAAAAGAUCUGAAUAAAUGGAAAGAUAUACCACAUUUUUAAAAUAUAAACACAUUAAUUUCCCUCAAAAUUAACCUAUAAAUUUGAUGUAAUUUCAGACAAAAUUAUUGCAAGUUUUUUUUUUUUGAGGACCUCAACAUUCUUACUCUAAAAUGAAGAGUAAAUAAUUCCAACAUACUUACUCUAUAAGAAGGAAUAAAGGUUCAUGAUGCAUAAGUCAUUUUGAAAAAUGAAGAGAAAAGAGAAGGAACUCACCCUUCCAGACAAAAUCAGCUUGAAAUUGGAACAUAGUCAAAUACAUCUAGGGAAAGAGCAGAGAGUGAGAGCCAGACCUGAGUCUACAUGAGAACCUUCUUUGGGAUAAACAUGGCACCAUCAAUCAGUGGGGAAGGGAUGGAUUGCCUAAAACUCAUUACUUGGUAGUAGAGAAACAGCUUAUUAGUUCACUCUCUCAAGCAUAUGCCAAAGAAGAAUUCAGUGCAAAAGUAAAAUUAUAAAGCUAAAAGGAGAUAUUAGAGAUGUUAAAGAAGGUACUCAAUACACAAACCAUAAGUUGUAAUUAUUAUUUUUUGAGAUGAGUCUCACUCUGUUGACCUGGCUGGAGUGUAGUGGUGCCAUCUCAGCCCACUGCAGCCUUUGCCUUCUGGGUUCAAGCAAUUCUCCUGCCUCAGCCUCCCCAGUAGCUGGGAUUAUAGACAUGUGCCAACAUGGCCAGCUGAUUUUUGUAUUUUUAGUAGAGACGGGUUUCACCUUGUUGGCCAGGCUGGUCUCAAACUCCUGACCUCAAAUGAUCUUCCCACCUUGGCCUCCCAAAGUGUUGGGAUUACAGGCAUGAGCCACUGUGCCCAGCCAUAAGUUGAAAAUUUAAUAGAGUUGACUAUAUUUUAAAAAUUAAGAAUUCUGUAAAGGGUAGGCACAAUAAGCAAAGUUAACAAAAAGGUGACAAAAUAAGAAAAGAUAUAUAAUAUCUAACACCUAAAAGGAGUUAACAUCUAGAAUGCACCAAGAAGACUCGAGGGUUUUUUUUUUUUUUUUUGGUAAAAUGGGGAUAAUAAUAAUAAUAAUAAUAGAAAGUGACAUGCUCAGCACAGAGCCUGCAGUACAGUAAAUGCACAUCAUUUGCUAUUACUAGUUUAUCUAUUCUUAUACUCUGUGACAAAACACAUUUUGUGUGGAGUCAUUAUGUAUGGAUCCUGAAUUUCUGGUUUCUGCAUGGUCUUAUGUUGCCAGCUUAUGGAGUUGCAGAAAAAUGUAUGUACAAAUAUCCAGCCAGUCUCAAUAUCCACAAACGCUGUUGAUAAAUGUCCCUAGAUACUCCCAUGGUUAAAAGUGAGGAGAAUAACAGUGGCCAUUCCUGUGACACAGAGGUGAACAAAAUGCUGUGUGUGCACCACUGUAGCUGUAAAACCAACUGCCGAUGACACCUGCCAGGUGACGUAGCGAGAAGAAUAUGUUUCAUAGCUUGAGGUGUGAAUCUUGUGACUGUCAUAUUCCAUCCUGCCUGAGGCUGAGCCCCAAGGGGGCUGUGCCUGGAGAUAGACAGGCUGGGUGGAGCUGUUUCCCAGUGCUUAGCUCUUUUCCAGGUGUUACUCAUGGCUGUGGUGGGUGGGAAGGCUGAAUGGGCCAGCCGCUUUGUGCUGGAUUUACUGGGGACUCAUUCCCAUACCCAAGGGCAGAUUGGCUACAGAGAGGUGGCUUUGCUCACUGCCAACCAAACCUGCUCUCUGAAAGCAGAGCUUUGUCUUUUUCUGCUUUAUGACCUCAGCUUCGGAGAAGGCUUUGGCUCCCCAAGUGUGGCCCAAAAACUUGGAUGAUGAUGCACAGGGUAGAAGGCAACAAACAAGCUGCCCUUGGUGGCAGUGACCUGAGCUGGGUCUACUCCUUGGGCUUGGGUGAUGAAUACAAAAAGUCAGCCAGGGCCAUGCUGCUGAUAGGGAAGAAGGACUCAUGAUAACCCUGUACCAGGUACUGCUACACAGACUUUCUCCUUCAGUCCUCUGCAAACCUGUGAAGCCUUCUUAUGUGUUUCACAGAUACAAAAACUGCAGCUCAGAAAGGGCAAAUGGUCUGCCCAAAAAUACCUGGAUGAAGUGGGUCACCCAUAGUUAAAUCCAGAGACCCACUGGAAUUUGAACCUUAGGUCUGUUCAACUCUGAAACUUGUGAUGUUUUGUUUUGUCUUGUUUUUUUUUUUGUUGUUGUUGUUGUUCUUGGUGGUGGUUUGUUUCUUUUUUCCACAGCACCACUCUUUUUCUGCAGAGUGGAGUAGGGAGAAGUUGGAAGUGGGAUGGAAACCAGGAUAGGCCCCUGUGAACCCAAAUCUGUGGCUUGGUGGACUCCAGGGAAAAAUGCAUGGCCAGUCGUGACCUUGUCUGAUCCUGGCAGAUGCUUCAUGUAGGUUAUAGAAAGGUAAUUCUACUUCCCAGAGCUCCAUUUGAACAUGUGCUCUUGUGGUCAGUUGGUUUUAGGUGUGGCUUUGGUUUCUGAGCAGAAACUGUUCCCAUGAAAUAAUGGCAUCCUUAAAGUGUUGUGCUUCGACUGUCAUUCAGAGAAGACAGGACUUCCGGGAGAUAUACUAUACAAUAUGGAUGGAUUCCCUGUGUAGGAAAGAACUUGCUCCCUGACCUGCCAGCCAGGUGGAAUUUCAUCUGUGUGUGCUUUUAGGAUCAGGUGCUUUGAAGAACUGGCUUCAUUAGCCACUAACAGAGACGUGUUUGUCGAAACAUCAGCAACUGACUUUUUUGUGUGCUCACAGAUAUUUUUGCACUGCUGCUAUCAGAGGUUUGGAAGGAUUGCUAUGACUACAUGCUCUUGCCCCUCUUUCUAAGGUCUAUGGCAAUGAGUAGCAAUAAUAAUUAUGAUACUGACAAUAGCAAACCAUUCACUCUAGGUUUUGUGCUGGGCACUGGAGUAAGUUUAUGUUACAUUCACAACAACCUUCUGAAGUAUGUGUCAUUUAGGACUGGUUUGACUACAAGUAGCAGAAACCCAUUUUAAAUGGCCUAACCAGUGGAGGGAUUUCUUUUUCUCAUGUAAUAGGAAGUCUAGCUGUAAGCAGUUUAGGGUAUGAAUGCAGGCCCCAUGGUGCCAUCAAGAACUCGGUCUCUUUUGCCGGAGGCUUUCUUCCUCAUGUAUGCAGCAUAGCUGCUCUAUUUUGUGAUUCACAACUAAUUUUUACUCAGGAAGUAUUUGAAAGAAGGGAGAAGCUAAGUAGUCAAUGCGAGCUGGAUGUGUGCCCUCUAACAGGCUUUCUCAGGACUCCAGCUGGUACCUCCGCUUGCAGCAUCUAGUCCAGAACCUCGUUCCAUGACCACAUCUGGCUGCAAGAAAGUUGGGUAAUCCAAGAGCAUUUAAGUGAGCCCCUUUGUUAAUAAGAAAGAAAGGAGGACUGGCUACUGAUUCCGUAACUAGUAGUGCCUAGCUCAAGUAGUUAACGUUUGUUCAAAAUUUACAGACAAAGAAAGUCAGAUUGGAGAAGUUAAGUGUUAAGAAGUUAAGUCCCUAAGGCUCUCUUGCUAGGGAGUGAUGGAGCCCAAAUAUGAAUCCAGGUGUGUCUGACUCCAAAGCUACAUUCCUAAAUGCUGUUUAGAAUUUGUUCUUGAUGUUUGGUGGUAUUUGGGCUGGACAACAGAGGACUUAAGGGGGUUCUCUUAUGGGACAGGAAGGAGAAUUGAGUUUUCAGCUUCUUGAAUAGUGCUAAGAUCAAUGUAUAAAAGAUAUGGAAGGUAGAUUUUGGUACAAGGUAAGAAAGUGAUUGCUCACAAUUAGUAAUUAACUGGUCUAUGGGCUGUGUAGCUAACUCUAUGACCAGGAAUAUUUAUGUAGCUCAGAGGAGAUUCCUAAACUGACUUGGAGUUUGAGCCUAAUAUGAGUUCGAGAGUCUAGGUCCAUGAAACAAAAGUGGCUGAGAUAGAACCAUUGGGAUGAAAAGAGCUUUUGGCUGGGCACGGUGGCUCAUGCCUGUAAUCCCAGCACUUUGGGAGGCCAAGGCGGGUAGAUCACCUGAGGUUGGGAGUUCAAGACCAGCCUGGCCAAUAUGGAGAAAACCUAUCUCUACUAAAAAUACAAAAUUAGCUGGGAGUGUGGUGCAUGCCUGUAAUCCCAGCUACUUGAGAGGUUGAGGCAGAAGAAUCCUUGAACCCAGGAGGUGGUGGGUAUGGUGAGCCAAGAUCAUACUAUUGCACUCCAGCCUGGGCGGCAAGAACAAAACUGUCUCAAAAAAAAAAAAAAAAAAGGAGGGCUUUUGGUCUCCUUAUAGAUGCUUCUUGAUUUGUCAGUUAGAGUGACCAUAUAACUAAUUUAUGAUCCAAACUGGGGCAUUUUUUAGAGUAAGAAAAGGACUUACUAGUAAUUAUGCUGGGACAACAAACAAACACCAGAAUCAUCACGGAUCCAGUAGAAGCCAUGGCUAGCCCAGCCAUAGGCUAAUGGAUAAUGGAAUGGGGCGGCCUGGGCUUCAUUGGAACUGAUAGCUGGGCAAACAUCAGAAAGGACAGACGUCCCCGAGGUAGACCUCCCCGAGGUAGACCUCCCUACCUCUGUAGGUUAAACCUCCCAAGAGGCUCUGCCUGUGAUGGACUUUGGUGACAGACAUUAAAAUAUGAUGAGCAGGGACAAUGUGUGACUACUGAAAAUGUAUGUGUGACACAGCCCCUCAGGCCCUUAGUCUACCUUAACGUGACUCAUUUUCAGAGACACUGAGCUUAGUUAAUGCCGUGUAUCUUACUGAGUCAUGAACCCAGCCCAUUCUAGGCUGGAAAGGCAACUGGAUUUCACAUACCCUAAUGUCCUUCUCAGCUUUUAAAAACUGAUCUUCUGAUUUGCUCCAUGACCUUGGGCAAGUCAUAACCUCUCUGUGUGGUUUGGCUUCUCCUUUAGUGGAAAUAAAAUGGAAAUAAUAGUUAUGUAAGAGAAAAAAGUGAUUCAAGAUUUUCCAAUGAAAGUUGCUGCAUGGAGCCAAGUGAUAUUAUUAUUUUCAUGAUAGUUAUUAGCAGAACUGCUUCUUGUUCCAUCCCCUCUCAUUAAGCCACAGGGAAUUUCUCUCUGGCUUGUGUUUCACUGUUAACCUCCUUGUGCCUGGAUCUCAAUGCCUCUUAAUAUGGAAACUGGAAAUCUGUGAGAAUCUCAGCUAUUUGUUUCAUAACAGAGGCAGCCUAUUCAGGAAACCAUUUAAUAACGAUGCCAUUACAAUAUUGUCUUGAUUCUUUCUUUAAUUCCUUUAUUCAAUAAAUAUUGAUUGAGCAUGUCUGUGUGCCAGGUUCUGUUUCCCAAGGAUAGAGCAAGAUGCAUAAUGACAGCAUGAAGCUUUUCAAUGUUUCCUGAAUCAAGGAAUUUAUGAGAUUUGAAGUUUGGAGAGCUGAUCUCCUGCCGUGAUCUUGCAUCUCUCUUGUCUAUCCGGAUCCCUGAGAGAGAUUUCUAAAAGCAAAACUGCUCUUGUUACCCAUUUCCUGAAGGAGCAAAACUGAAUUUCUGAAUAUGGCACGGAAGAAUCUUCAGGGUUGGCCUCUGUUCACCGUUUUGUCUCUUCUCUCACUGAGCCCCUUUUUGGACUAUAAGUGUCAGCUAUCAGGACUUCCCUACAGGUUUCUGAAUAUUCAGCUCUUUCAUAUCGCUAGGCCAGAGGGUAGCAGACAUUUACUUGUAAAGGGCCAGAGAGCUAAUAUUUUUGGUUUUCUGGGUUAUGUGGUCUCUGUUGCAACUAUUCAAUGCUGCUAUUGUAGUGUGAAAACAGCCAUGGAAAAAAUAUAAAUGCAUGAGCAUUUAAAUAAAGUCAAAUAAAACUUUAUUUACAAAAACAGACAGCAGAAGGGAUUUGGUCCACAGGCUGUGGUUUGCUGAUCUCUGCGUUAGGCUUUUGCUCGUUCUGUGGUCUUUUACUUGUCUUCCUCCUCCUUUCAUCUGACCAGUGCCCGUUCAAUUGUCACCUCAAGUCUGAGGUCUUGCCACACUGCCCUGGGUAGAACUGGUCAUGCGCCCCAGUGUGUUCUGUACUUACCACCCCCACAAGUAACAGAAAAUUAAACCUGUAUUUUUCCACAUAACCAUAUUGUAAGCUUUAUUUAUUCAUUCAUUCACAUGCAUACAUUCACAGAUUCAUUCAUGUAACAAUAUUUAAUGAGCACCCACUAUGGGGCAGAGUUGAUAACUUUUUAGUCUUUGUGAAAGUACAACACAUGAUGACUUUUUAGUCAGUGAAAGUACAACGCAUAAAACAUUCCUAAUACAUGCUUGUGAAAAAAAGGAGAUAGAACUCGAUAAAAAAAUCCAUUGCCAAAGAUUCAUCUGUAUCUUUGUUGUAAGCGCCCACAAGCGGGGAGUUGUCUUGAUUGAUUCAAAGCCUCUCCACUGUGUGGAGGGAUUUGGUCAGUUGACUGUAUUUGGAGCUUUUCUUUUAAGGUUUCUGUCACCUGGUCUGGAAUAGUUUGGUGGCUCCCAAAUGUUGUCCAUUCUUACUCCUUUUCCUAGAACUUAGGGUCCUGUCUUCUGGUGACCUCUUAAGGCAGGACCAAGAGGAGUAGCACCAACUUCUAAACUCCCAUCUGGGCAGGUGACUGACAUGAGUUUGAGGUUUACCAAAGUAGUGCAGUGUGGUUCUUGUUUUUAUUGUUAUUUUUAAGUAGAGAUGUGUUUUUUCCAUUACUCCCUGAGAAAAUAGGGCUGUCUGAGCUAAGGAGCUUAAACAGCUCACAGCAUGGAGGUAGUGGAAUAGCUUCCUUGCAGAGUCUAAGUCUUUUGUUUGUUUUUUUUGUGUCCAGUCUCUGGCUCUUUGAGAGCAAUUUAAAGGUAAAUGUAAGUAUGAAGCUUCUUGAUUACUCAUAUUACAGAAAUCAUUUCAUGGUUUUAUGAGCCAAAAAAUAUUUUAAGUAGGGCUUAAGUCAUCUUCUUAAAUUUACAACCCAUUCUAAAUGUAAACAGAAUUAUAUUUAAUUGGUUGUCACCAAUGAAACCAAAAUUACUUCAUUCGGUUUCAACCUGGUCAGAUAUAGAUUUUCAAUGGUUACCAGGAAGGAAAUGUGUUUGUAGUCAGAGGCAGAGAAGAGGAAAUGGUUAUAGCUGGUUACAAAACAAACAUAAAACCUCCACACUGUUUCUCAUGUUACAAGAGCAAAUAGGGAAGAAGCCACAAAUGGGGCUGUUAGCGCAGAGUGCAUGUUGGGUAAACACUAGAGAAACGGGAAAAUGUUCUGGGUCUCUACUUUUUACGUUAUAGAAAGCCAGGAAGGGAAGCUGCUGAACAGAGCACAAGGUUGUCUGUUUACUAACUCACCCCACAGGUAAUAGAAGUCAAAUCCAAGUUCCAUUGUGCCCAGGGGCUCUUCACCAAGACAUCAAUAAUCUGCCUGUCCUGACAUUUUCAGACUGGUUACUCUUAUGAGGAAAUUAAGGUGAGAAGAAACUAAGGCAGAGAAGGUGGGGAGCAGGGCAGGGUCACAAAGUGACCUUCAGUUACAAAAGGAAAACAAGACAGUGUUACUAACUGACCAGGGCCACGAAAGGUAGUAAACACAGCCAGGGCAAAGUAGAGAGCAUGCAAACUCACCCCAUUGCGACAGAUACUCACACAAUUUGAUGAUAAGAAACUUCUGGCAAGUUCCUCACUGAGCAAGCUGUUGUCACAAGUAUAUUUUGAAUGGGUUUAUAACAAUGUGUCUGUGCGUGUGUUUUAGGUGGCAGGACCAGGGCAAAUGAGUUUCAUGAAUAAAUGUGCUACUUGCUUGCCUGAGGUAUUAAAAUUUAAAAUAAAAUACUAUUUUCUGGCAUGAACAAAUAGUUUACUUUUUUGGCAAUUCUCAUCAAAUGUUAAGUGUCACCACUUGGCAAUGUCUAUCAGAAUGAAAAUUUACAUAUCCUUUGAUUCUGUAAUUCCACUUCAAGAAAUUGAUUCUGUAGUCCUACUCAUACAUAUGUGCAAAAUUAUGUUUGUGGAAGUACAAAACUGGAAACCACCAUUAUGUCUAUUCAGAAGGGGCUGGGUAAAUUAUGGGACACCAAUAUUAUGGAAUAUAGUGCAGCCUUAUAGAUUUGCAGCAAAUUUCACAGUAUCUGUUAAGUUUCCUUAAAGAAUGUAAGAGUAUAUAGAAGGAAGGGGAGGGGAACACACACACACACACACACACUAGGGCAGGGGUCUCCAAUCCCCAGGCAGCAGACCGGUACUGGUCCAUGGCCUGUUAAGAACCGGGCCACACAGCAGAAGGUGAGAGGUGAGCAAAGGAGUUCUGCCUCCUGUCAGAUCAGCGGGCAUUAGAUUCUUAUAGGAGAGUGAACCCUAUUGUGAACUGCCCAUGUGAGGGAUCUAGGUUGUGUGCUCCUUCUGAGAAUCUAACUGAUGCCUGAUGAUCUGAGGUGCAAGUUUCAUCCUGAAGCCAUCCCCCACCCACCUUGGUUUGCGGAAAAAUAGUUUUCCAUGAAACUGGUCCCUGGUGCCAAAAAGGUUGGCAACUGCUGUGCUAGGGGACUUCAAAAAGUUCAUGGAAAAAAAAUUAAAAGAUAAAAAUAAAAAUAAAUUUUAUUUCUUAACAUAAACUCCAUUAAGUUGAAGACACUUGUGUAAGUGGUGCUAGCCAUUUAGUGCACACCUAAAGAACUGAGGGUCCUGGGAAUUUAACCAUGUCAAUGUAAUCUUUUUUACUUUAUUAACUGAAGAAAAAUGGGUACCCUUUAAAGAUUUCUUAAGAUUAGAAAACAAAAAGUCAGGAGUCAAAUCAGGACUGUGAGUUGGAUGCCUAAUGAUUUCCCCGUGAAACUCACAAAAUCGUCCUUGUUUGAUGAGAGGAAUGAACAGGAGUAUUGUCACGGUGGAGAAGGACUCUCCAGUGAUGCUUUUCCUGGAGUCUGGGCUGCUGAAAGUUUUGGCUUUCUCAAAACACCCUCAUAAGAAGCAGAUGUUAUCAUUCUUUGGCCUUCUAGAAAGCCAACAGCAAAAUGCUUUGAGAAUCUUCAAAAAUUGUUACCAUGACCUUUACUCUUGACCAGUCUCCUUUUGCUUUGACUGAACCACUUCUUGGUCCAAGAGGUACGAAGAAUGGAAUCUCUUGGUAGCCAUUGCUCUGACUGGGCUUUGUCUUCAGGAUCAUGCUGGUAAUGCCGUGUUCCACCUCCUCUUACAAUCCUUUAAUGAAAUGCUUCAGGAUCUUGAUCCCACUUGUUUAAAAUUUCCAUUGAUAGCUCUGCUCUUGUCUGCAGCUGAUCUGAGCGCAAUGAUUUUGUUACCUAUCCAGUGAAAAGUUUCGUCAACAUUAAUUUUUCAGUCAGAAUUGUGUAAGCUGAACCAAUGGAGCUGUCUAUGGUGUUGACAAUAAUUAGGUUUAUGCUUAUUGAGUUUAUAAUUAGGUUUAUCCUCCUAAUGGUCAGUCUACCCCAAUUGGGGCACAAACAAUAUUAAUUUUUUUGUUGAGACAGGGUCUUGCUCUGUUGCUCAGGCUGGAGUGCAGUGGCACAAUUGUGGUUCGCUCUAGCCUUGACCUGCCAGGCUCAGGUGAUCUUCCCACCUCAGCCUCCCAAGUAACGAGGACUACAGGCCUGUGUAACCACACUCAGCUAAUUUUUAAUUUUUUUGUAGAGAUGGGGGUCUCACUAUGUUGCCCAGGCUGGUUUCAAACUCCUGGGCUUAAGCAACCUUCCCACCUUGGCCUCUCAAAGUGUUGGGAUUAUGGGCAGGAGCUAACAGAACUAAUGUUUUCCUUGAAAAUGCGUGUGAUUGGUCUGCUGCUGUGGACUUCAUCUUUAACAUGGUCUCAUAUCUUCUUAAAAUGAGCCACGUGUAAACUGUUUGUUUAUUUGGGGAAGUGUCCCCAUAUACUUUUUGUAAAGUUUCAAUGAUUUCACUAUUCUUCCAUCCAAGCUUCACCCUAGAUUUGAAGUUUGUUCUUGCUUCAAUUUUAGCAGAAUUCAUGUUGCUCUGACAGAGGCUCUUCUCAAACUGAAGUCUUAUCCUUCUUACUGCCUCAACUAGAUUCUGUUCCAACAUGUUAUAACAGACUAGUAUGAGUUUAUUUUGGUACAAGAAAAAUGAAUAUCCAUGCAUAGUUUUUUCAUAAUAUGCAUUUUCCAUAAACUUUUUAAAGACCCCGUGUGUGUGUGUGUGUGUGUGUGCGCGCGCAUUUAU
This is a non-coding RNA of Callithrix jacchus (white-tufted-ear marmoset), 11886 nucleotides long. The record is from RefSeq and is a predicted model, not a curated record. NCBI's taxonomy places the organism in Eukaryota, Metazoa, Chordata, Mammalia, Primates, Cebidae.